This 457-nucleotide ribosomal RNA is filed under the name uncultured Sulfuricurvum sp. RNAcentral describes it as "bacterial SSU rRNA". It matches the Rfam family "Bacterial small subunit ribosomal RNA", at positions 929 to 1382 of the family's 1533-position model. The record is from RNAcentral. Lineage: Bacteria; Pseudomonadati; Campylobacterota; Epsilonproteobacteria; Campylobacterales; Sulfurimonadaceae.
GUGGUGGAGCAUGUGGUUUAAUUCGAAGAUACACGAAGAACCUUACCUGGCCUUGACAUGGUAGGAACCCUUAAGAGAUUAGGGGGUGCUAGCUUGCUAGAACCUACACACAGGUGCUGCACGGCUGUCGUCAGCUCGUGUCGUGAGAUGUUGGGUUAAGUCCCGCAACGAGCGCAACCCUCGUCCUUAGUUGCUAACAGUUCGGCUGAGCACUCUAGGGAGACUGCCUUCGCAAGGAGGAGGAAGGUGAGGACGACGUCAAGUCAUCAUGGCCCUUACGGCCAGGGCUACACACGUGCUACAAUGGGGCGUACAGAGAGCUGCGAUACCGCGAGGUGGAGCCAAUCUCUUAAAGCGUUUCUCAGUUCGGAUUGUUCUCUGCAACUCGAGAACAUGAAGCUGGAAUCACUAGUAAUCGCAGAUCAGCUAUGCUGCGGUGAAUACGUUCCCGGGUCUU